RNAcentral lists this long non-coding RNA (3375 nucleotides) under Homo sapiens (human). RNAcentral describes it as "HSALNT0106005". The record is from RNAcentral. Lineage: Eukaryota; Metazoa; Chordata; Mammalia; Primates; Hominidae.
GAGAGAAACAUCUAAGAUGGUUUCUUGGUUUCUUGCCAGAACUAUCUGGAAGGAAAGUAAUGGGAGAUUCUAGACUCCACAAAGGCUGAGGCCUCAUCCUUUCCCCUUACCCCAUCCCAGCACCCCACAGGGCCUGCAUGGGGUGGGUGCUCAAUACAUAAAUAUUUGUUGAAUGAAUUUGAUGCCAGCAGUGGGGAGGGGGACCAAGGGAAGGAUAACAGGCUUGGAGGGGUGUUCACAGUAUGGUCAACGUUAAGAUACCCACAGGACCAUCAUGUCAGGCUGGCCUGUGGGCUGCCAGACAUGCAGCCUUGGAGAGAGGUGCUGGAGGGAGAUAUAAACUUUGGAGCCAAUAGCAACCAAGUGAAAACAAAAGCCACACGUGGGUUUAAAGUCCAGAGAUGGCUCAGAUCUCUCAGCGGGCUCCAUGAGAUUUGUCAUAAUAAUUAGAGACAAUCUCAGAUGCUGGGUGUAAAGGGAGCACGGUGACAGAUGAAUGUAAACUAAUUAUCCUCACAGCAACCUUGAGAAACAGGAAUGUGCAUGCAUGUUUCCUUGCUAAGAUACGGAGAGGAAAAAGGACCAGGAGAGUUGCAUGAUGUCCCAGAAGGCUGCCAGAGCCCUGGCACAGCUGCAGGAACACCCAGGAACUCCUUCCUCCACUAUCCACCCUUGGAAAUGUCAGCAUGGGUACUUUCCUCAUCAAGGAAUGAUUUUAAGAAUUUGUUUUCAAAAUAAAAAGGGGUUUUAGAGUUGGGAAGCCCUGCUGGUUGUAAUCAGAUGUGUUUUAUGGGACCAUUCACCAGCACUUGAAGAACAGGGAUGACCUAUAAAUGUAUUCAUGGAUUCAGACCCAGGGCAGGUUUCAUGGGCUGAUUACAAAUGCCUUGGGGAUGGCAUCAGCAUUCAGGAGACACAGUCACCCCUGAACACCAGCCACAGUGCCAUACACACCUUCACCACCUGCACUCCCACCUCCUCCUCAUCCCUGCUGCUGUGAUGCCAACUCCUCAGUCUCAGCAGCUCCUGGAAGCUCUAGGACACCUUUCAAGAAAACCACAAGUCCUUAUCCAGAUCAGGGCAGCCCAGGACAUUAUCUUUGUCCCCUCAACCCACAUAAGCCCAGCCUAUUCAGCCUAAUCCGCAUGACUUCCUCAAUCAGCCUGGCAUCCCACUCUACCAGGUCCCCCUCCCACCUCCUCCACCAUAAUAAGUUUUAUGCAGAGGGUAUAGCACUUGAAGCUAGGCUGACCUGGCCUCCAGUCCUGACCACUUAGACCCUGAUCUUGCAUGAGUCAGUCUCAGAGACUCAACUUUCCCAUCCAUGAAAGAUCUCUCUCCUUGUCUGUACCCUCCUGGGCCUAGCACCAUGCUUGGUGCACAUUUGGUGGUGGUCCACAGAUGCCACGUGGAUGCAUAAAUGCACGGCUUCCUGAGAGGAUGACACAGAUGCACGUGGAUUUUUAUCACUUGCUGAAUGGAAGUGAGACUUAACAGGGACCUCUUAGGAGCCUAUGGGCUCCCCCAAGCAUAAAAACAAAAAAACAAAAAAACUUCUUCCUUUCCUUCAAGGGAAAUUUCAGGCACCUAGCUUUCCCUGAGAAGUAAAUGUGAUAAGGAAGAAGGUAAUACUAGCUUAAGACCAUAGCCAAGGAAGUUAGAAUCAUGGGAUGCUUGGUUCCCUGGUAGAAACUAGAGAUAACAUCUUAACACAGGUCACUGAGUUGUUUUUCAGAAACCUGGAUCCCCACCAAAUGGAUCUGCUGGCACCUAGACUUCAGCCAUCUAGGAGUUGGGGUUUUAAGUGUGACCGCCCAAUUCGCCUUACUUGCUGCCCUGCAAAUAAAUGCCUUCCUUUCAUCUGCUGCAAACCUUGGUGUGGACGUUUUGGCCUUACUCUGCCAGGUAAGCAGACACCAGUUAGGUUUGAGAACAGAUGCGCUUAGUAAAAUAAAUUGCUUCCAGAUGCUGGUGAUACCAUCUCGGCCUCCUCUUGGUAUCCUGGUUGGCUCUCUAUUUGAAAGCCUCGCCCAGGCAUGGUGGCUCAGGCCUGUGAUCCCAGCACUUUGGGAGGCCAAGGCAGGCAGAUCACCUGAGGUCAGGAGUUCGAGACCAGGCUGGCCAACAUGGCAAAACCCCAUCUCUACUAAAAAUACAAAAAUUAGCUGGGUGUGGUGGUGGGCACCUGUAAUCCCAGCUACUCAGGAGGCUGAGGCUGGGAGAAUCACUUGAACCCAGGAGGUGGAGGUUGCAGUAAGCUGAGAUCAUACCAUUGCACUCCAGCCUGGGCAACAGAGUGAGACUCCAUCUCAAAAACAAACAAACAAAAAAACCCAAAAACAAAACAACAAAAAGCCUCUGUCCAUCUUCUGUUGCACAAAUCCCUCCUCACUCUCUGAGUCCUGGUGGAGCUCCAUGUUCCUCAUGCAGCCCUCCUGGCUGCCCCCAGCUGGCACAACUCCAUCGUCUGGCUGCUAUCCGCCUUUUGGUCAGUACACUUAGUUUGCACUAGACUGGCAUCACCCAACUGAGUUCUAAGGCCGACAAGGUGCUGUUUCAUAUUUUCUCUGUUUUUGUUCAUUACAUAGACCCCAAAUACAGGCAGGCUGAGCAGUCAGUUGCAAAAUCAGUCACCAGAAAGGAUUCUGAGAUUAAUCACCCUGUAACAUAAUCUUAAAAUACUGAUUUUGGACUUGGGACACCGCCUAGGCACUGGUAUGUUCAUGGGUUCGUACAUACAUGUACACAUGUGUGCACACCCACUUUGGGGAUGGGAUAGUAUUUGCUUUUCUUUGAAGUUUCACUGAGCUGCCUCCCAGUACAGAGGGGCCCAGGUCUGGGCCUGGAGAUGGUACACAUGGUGUAAGAAAGGUUUCUCUAUCCCCUGGGGCUGGUUGACUGUGAUGUGGCUGCUGCUUUCCCUACUGAUAUGAGGUGCAUGAGGAGGAGUGGAAAGGGACAAAGCUGUGCAGCUUGAGCCCAGGAAGGGACACUGCUGUCAGGCCUCUGAGCCCAAGCUAAGCCAUCGUAUCCCCUGUGACCUGCACGUAUACGUCCAGACGGCCCAAAGCAAGUAAAGAGUCACAAAAGAAGUGAAAAUGGCCGGUUCCUGCCUUAACUGAUGACAUUCCACCAUUGUGAUUUGUUCCUGCCCCACAUUAACUGAGUAAUUAACCUUGUGAAAUUCCUUCUCCUGGCUCAGAAGCUCCCCCACUGAGCACCUUGUGACCCCCACCCCUGCCCGCAAGGGAACAACCCCCUUUGACUGUAAUUUUCCGCUGCCCACCCAAAUCCCAUAAAACGGCCCCAUCCAUCUCUCCCUUUGCUGAUUCUCUUUUUGCACUCAGCCUGCCUGCACCCAGGUGAUUAAAAAGC